This 527-nucleotide long non-coding RNA is filed under the name Nicotiana benthamiana. RNAcentral describes it as "long non-coding RNA (NBEN_LNC007864)". Lineage: Eukaryota; Viridiplantae; Streptophyta; Magnoliopsida; Solanales; Solanaceae. The record is from RNAcentral.
ACCGCUUCGACUUUCCGUCAGUUAGUACAUUUCCUGCCAUAAUCGAUUAUCUCAAAAUGAUAGAUAAUCGAUUAUUCUCUGAAUCUGUUUUCAGACUGAGUCAUCAAAAUCGAUUAUCUGACCAACAAAAUCGAUUAUCAACGUUCACUUUUUCAAACUUCUUACCGUUUUUUGACUGUUUGGGACUUAAAAUCUGAAGUUAUUGUACAAUUAAAUACCUUCAUCUCCUUCACUCUAUAAAUAGGUGCUUCCACCCUUCAAAUUCUUCACUCCAACAUCAUUCCUAGCUCCUAAUAUUCUUCCAAAGUCUUCAAAAAUUUCUGCAAAGGCUCUCAAAUUUCUUUUUAAAUGACGGGCAAGAAUUCUAAACGAGCUCACUCCGGCAAACAUAUUGCCUCCUCUUCCAUUGCUCCUCCACUCGUUCACUGCUAUAAAGACGGAUCUUAUUUACGGUUCGACAGUGUAGCCGAACUUAUUCGUUUCGUCGAAAAAUUUGAAAAUCGAGAAAUCCUUCCUCCUCGAUUCUC